GAUGAACGCUGGCGGCGUGCCUAAUACAUGCAAGUCGAGCGAACGGACGAGAAGCUUGCUUCUCUGAUGUUAGCGGCGGACGGGUGAGUAACACGUGGAUAACCUACCUAUAAGACUGGGAUAACUUCGGGAAACCGGAGCUAAUACCGGAUAAUAUUUUGAACCUCAUGGUUCAAAAGUGAAAGACGGUCUUGCUGUCACUUAUAGAUGGAUCCGCGCUGCAUUAGCUAGUUGGUAAGGUAACGGCUUACCAAGGCAACGAUGCAUAGCCGACCUGAGAGGGUGAUAGGCCACACUGGAACUGAGACACGGUCCAGACUCCUACGGGAGGCAGCAGUAGGGAAUCUUCCGCAAUGGGCGAAAGCCUGACGGAGCAACGCCGCGUGAGUGAUGAAGGUCUUCGGAUCGUAAAACUCUGUUAUUAGGGAAGAACAUAUGUGUAAGUAACUGUGCACAUCUUGACGGUACCUAAUCAGAAAGCCACGGCUAACUACGUG
This 497-nucleotide ribosomal RNA is filed under the name uncultured bacterium. Its description in RNAcentral is "partial 16S ribosomal RNA". It matches the Rfam family "Bacterial small subunit ribosomal RNA", at positions 28 to 507 of the family's 1533-position model. The record is from RNAcentral.